Molecule: non-coding RNA, 75 nt
Organism: Myotis lucifugus (little brown bat)
Lineage: Eukaryota; Metazoa; Chordata; Mammalia; Chiroptera; Vespertilionidae
Source: Rfam
GGCGGUUCUUGGGUGACACCCCCCAGAAUCCGGCUCCCUCCUCUCUGGUUCCAGGUGCAUCACCAGAGAACUGCA